Molecule: ribosomal RNA, 301 nt
Filed under: uncultured bacterium
Lineage: Bacteria
Description: partial 16S ribosomal RNA
Rfam family: Bacterial small subunit ribosomal RNA
Source: RNAcentral
CAGCCGCCGCGGGAAUACGAAGGUCCCGAGCGUUGUUCGGAAUCACUGGGCGUAAAGGGAGCGUAGGCGGCGUGGUAAGUCAGAUGUGAAAUCCCGGGGCUCAACCCCGGAACUGCAUCCGAUACUGCCAUGCUAGAGGAUUGGAGAGGUAGCUGGAAUUCUUGGUGUAGCAGUGAAAUGCGUGGAGAUCAAGAGGAACACUCGUGGCGAAAGCGAGCUACUGGACAAUAACUGACGCUGAGGCUCGAAGGCCAGGGUAGCGAAAGGGAUUAGAUACCCGCGUAGUCCCUGUCUCUUAUAA